GACGAACGCUGGCGGCGUGCCUAAUACAUGCAAGUAGAACGCUGAAGGAGGAGCUUGCUUCUCUGGAUGAGUUGCGAACGGGUGAGUAACGCGUAGGUAACCUGCCUGGUAGCGGGGGAUAACUAUUGGAAACGAUAGCUAAUACCGCAUAAUAGCAGUUGUUGCAUGACAACUGUUUGAAAGGUGCAAUUGCACCACUACCAGAUGGACCUGCGUUGUAUUAGCUAGUUGGUGGGGUAACGGCUCACCAAGGCGACGAUACAUAGCCGACCUGAGAGGGGGAUCGGCCCCACUGGGACUGAGACACGGCCCAGACUCCUACGGGAGGCAGCAGUAGGGCAUCUUCGGCAAUGGACGGAAGUCUGACCGAGCAACGCCGCGUGAGUGCAGAAGGUUUUCGGAUCGUAAAGCUCUGUUGUAAGAGAAGAACGAGUGUGAGAGUGGAAAGUUCACACUGUGACGGUAUCUUACCAGAAAGGGACGGCUAACUACGUG
RNAcentral lists this ribosomal RNA (495 nucleotides) under uncultured bacterium. RNAcentral's name for it is "partial 16S ribosomal RNA". It matches the Rfam family "Bacterial small subunit ribosomal RNA", at positions 28 to 507 of the family's 1533-position model. The record is from RNAcentral.